UUCCGUCCAGGAUACACAUUACACUUAGUUCUUGUCACUCUUUAGGCUCCUGUUAUCUGUGACAUUUUCUUUGUUUUUGAUGACCCGAAAAGGUUUGAGGCAUAAUGGCCAGGUAUUUGGUAGAAUGCUCCUCUGUUUGAAUUUGUCUUGUUUUCCUCAUAAUUGGAUUGGGAUCAUGUGUUUUCGGAUGAAGACCACAGAGCACAACAUUCUGAAAUUUUUUGGUUAUUGUAAUGAUGUUGAUCGGGAGUUGAGAAAAUGCCUGAAGAAUGAGUACGUAGAAAACAGGACCAAGAGCAGGGAGCAUGGCAUUGCAAUGCGAAAGAAACUUUUUAAUCCUCCAGAGGAAUCCGAAAAAUAAAUUGUAUUUUCACUCGAUGCCUUGGCUGAGAGAAGACCUAAAGACUCUGGGUUGAUACCUGAAAGAAUCCUGUCUUAUUUGGUCUCCAUAAUCCUUUGAAUGGAAAGUGACCUGUGAGAGAUUGAACCAUGGAGAAAUAUGAAAACCCUGGAUUCUGAGUAUUUGUUGGGCAGGGCGUUUAGUACUGUCUCCCCUUUACCAGCAAACCUGACUUCACCAUGUUUAUUCCCUUUGCCUACAACCAGUUAAUAUCUGAGUAACUUAUCUCCUUCAAUAAAAUAAUUUAAAUAA
This 652-nucleotide long non-coding RNA is filed under the name Homo sapiens (human). Its description in RNAcentral is "C-X9-C motif containing 2 (ENSG00000291948.1)". The record is from RNAcentral. Lineage: Eukaryota; Metazoa; Chordata; Mammalia; Primates; Hominidae.